UACAGGGGGGGCAAGCGUUGUUCGGAAUUACUGGGCGUAAAGGGCUCGUAGGUGGCCAACUAAGUCAGACGUGAAAUCCCUCAGCUUAACUGGGGAACUGCGUCUGAUACUGGAUGGCUUGAGUUUGGGAGAGGGAUGCGGAAUUCCAGGUGUAGCGGUGAAAUGCGUAGAUAUCUGGAGGAACACCGGUGGCGAAGGCGGCUUCCUGGACACUUACUGACGCUGAGACGCGAAAGCGUGGGGAGCAAACAGG
Molecule: ribosomal RNA, 253 nt
Filed under: uncultured bacterium
Lineage: Bacteria
Description: partial 16S ribosomal RNA
Rfam family: Bacterial small subunit ribosomal RNA
Source: RNAcentral